RNAcentral lists this ribosomal RNA (484 nucleotides) under uncultured bacterium. RNAcentral's name for it is "partial 16S ribosomal RNA". It matches the Rfam family "Bacterial small subunit ribosomal RNA", at positions 30 to 507 of the family's 1533-position model. The record is from RNAcentral.
AUUGAACGCUGGCGGCAGGCCUAACACAUGCAAGUCGAGCGGAUGAAGGGAGCUUGCUCCUGGAUUCAGCGGCGGACGGGUGAGUAAUGCCUAGGAAUCUGCCUGGUAGUGGGGGAUAACGUCCGGAAACGGGCGCUAAUACCGCAUACGUCCUGAGGGAGAAAGUGGGGGAUCUUCGGACCUCACGCUAUCAGAUGAGCCUAGGUCGGAUUAGCUAGUUGGUGGGGUAAAGGCCUACCAAGGCGACGAUCCGUAACUGGUCUGAGAGGAGGAUCAGUCACACUGGAACUGAGACACGGUCCAGACUCCUACGGGAGGCAGCAGUGGGGAAUAUUGGACAAUGGGCGGAAGCCUGAUCCAGCCAUGCCGCGUGUGUGAAGAAGGUCUUCGGAUUGUAAAGCACUUUAAGUUGGGAGGAAGGGCAGUAAGUUAAUACCUUGCUGUUUUGACGGUACCAACAGAAUAAGCACCGGCUAACUUCGUG